AGAGUUUGAUCCUGGCUCAGGACGAACGCUGGCGGCGUGCUUAACACAUGCAAGUCGAACGGAAAGGCCCUUCGGGGUACUCGAGUGGCGAACGGGUGAGUAACACGUGGGUGAUCUGCCCUGCACUUUGGGAUAAGCCUGGGAAACUGGGUCUAAUACCGAAUAGGACCACGCGCUUCAUGGUGUGUGGUGGAAAGCUUUUGCGGUGUGGGAUGGGCCCGCGGCCUAUCAGCUUGUUGGUGGGGUAAUGGCCUACCAAGGCGACGACGGGUAGCCGGCCUGAGAGGGUGACCGGCCACACUGGGACUGAGAUACGGCCCAGACUCCUACGGGAGGCAGCAGUGGGGAAUAUUGCACAAUGGGCGCAAGCCUGAUGCAGCGACGCCGCGUGAGGGAUGACGGCCUUCGGGUUGUAAACCUCUUUCAAUAGGGACGAAGCGUGAGUGACGGUACCUAUAGAAGAAGCACCGGCCAACUACGUGCCAGCAGCCGCGGUAAUACGUAGGGUGCGAGCGUUGUCCGGAAUUACUGGGCGUAAAGAGCUCGUAGGUGGUUUGUCACGUUGUCCGUGAAAACUCACAGCUUAACUGUGGGCGUGCGGGCGAUACGGGCAGACUGGAGUACUGUAGGGGAGACUGGAAUUCCUGGUGUAGCGGUGGAAUGCGCAGAUAUCAGGAGGAACACCGGUGGCGAAGGCGGGUCUCUGGGCAGUAACUGACGCUGAGGAGCGAAAGCGUGGGGAGCGAACAGGAUUAGAUACCCUGGUAGUCCAA
This 773-nucleotide ribosomal RNA is filed under the name uncultured bacterium. RNAcentral's name for it is "bacterial SSU rRNA". It matches the Rfam family "Bacterial small subunit ribosomal RNA", at positions 8 to 798 of the family's 1533-position model. The record is from RNAcentral.